GAUGAACGCUAGCGGCAGGCUUAAUACAUGCAAGUCGAGGGGCAGCAGUCCCGCAGCAAUGCGGGAGCUGGCGACCGGCAAACGGGUGCGGAACACGUACAGAACCUUCCUUCGAGCGGGGAAUAGCCCAGAGAAAUUUGGAUUAAUACCCCAUAGCAUUACGAAGUGGCAUCACUUUGUUAAUUAAAGAUUUAUCACUCGAAGAUGGCUGUGCGGCNGAUUAGGUAGUUGGCGGAGUAACGGCCCACCAAGCCUUCGAUCAGUAACUGGUGUGAGAGCACGACCAGUCACACGGGC
Molecule: ribosomal RNA, 297 nt
Filed under: uncultured bacterium
Lineage: Bacteria
Description: partial 16S ribosomal RNA
Rfam family: Bacterial small subunit ribosomal RNA
Source: RNAcentral